Molecule: ribosomal RNA, 500 nt
Filed under: uncultured Glomeromycotina
Lineage: Eukaryota; Fungi; Glomeromycota
Description: partial small subunit ribosomal RNA
Rfam family: Eukaryotic small subunit ribosomal RNA
Source: RNAcentral
CCAAUAGCGUAUAUUAAAGUUGUUGCAGUUAAAAAGCUCGUAGUUGAAUUUCGGGAUCAGCGCGUCGGUCGUGCCUCCGGUAUGCACUGGCGCCGCUGGUUUCUCCCUUCUGAGGAACCGUGAUGUCAUUAAUUUGGUGUUGCGGGAAAUCAGGACUGUUACUUUGAAAAAAUUAGAGUGUUUAAAGCGGGCACGCGCUUGAAUACAUUAGCAUGGAAUAACGAAAUAGGACGUUCGAUCUUAUUUUGUUGGUUUCUAGGAUUGACGUAAUGAUUAAUAGGGAUAGUUGGGGGCAUUAGUAUUCAAUUGUCAGAGGUGAAAUUCUUGGAUUUAUUGAAGACUAACUACUGCGAAAGCAUUUGCCAAGGAUGUUUUCAUUAAUCAAGAACGAAAGUUAGGGGAUCGAAGACGAUCAGAUACCGUCGUAGCCUUAACCAUAAACUAUGCCGACUAGGGAUCGGAUGAUGUUAAUUUUAUAAUGACUCAUUCGGCGCCUUACG